GACGAACGCUGGCGGCGUGCUUAACACAUGCGAGUCGAGCGGAAAGGCCCUGCUUUUGUGGGGUGCUCGAGUGGCGAACGGGUGAGUAACACGUGAGUAACCUGCCCUUGACUUUGGGAUAACUUCAGGAAACUGGGGCUAAUACCGGAUAGGAGCUCCUGCUGCAUGGUGGGGGUUGGAAAGUUUCGGCGGUUGGGGAUGGACUCGCGGCUUAUCAGCUUGUUGGUGGGGUAGUGGCUUACCAAGGCUUUGACGGGUAGCCGGCCUGAGAGGGUGACCGGCCACAUUGGGACUGAGAUACGGCCCAGACUCCUACGGGAGGCAGCAGUGGGGAAUAUUGCACAAUGGGCGGAAGCCUGAUGCAGCAACGCCGCGUGCGGGAUGACGGCCUUCGGGUUGUAAACCGCUUUCGCCUGUGACGAAGCGUGAGUGACGGUAAUGGGUAAAGAAGCACCGGCUAACUACGUG
Molecule: ribosomal RNA, 468 nt
Filed under: uncultured bacterium
Lineage: Bacteria
Description: partial 16S ribosomal RNA
Rfam family: Bacterial small subunit ribosomal RNA
Source: RNAcentral